AUUGAACGCUGGCGGCAGGCCUAACACAUGCAAGUCGAGCGGAUGAAGGGAGCUUGCUCCUGGAUUCAGCGGCGGACGGGUGAGUAAUGCCUAGGAAUCUGCCUGGCAGUGGGGGAUAACGUCCGGAAACGGGCGCUAAUACCGCAUACGUCCUGAGGGAGAAAGUGGGGGAUCGUCGGACCUCACGCUAUCAGAUGAGCCUAGGUGGGAUUAGCUAGUUGGUGGGGUAAGGGCCUACCAAGGCGACGAUCCGUAACUGGUCUGAGAGGAUGAUCGGUCACAUUGGAGCUUGGACACGGUCCAGACUCCUACGGGAGGCCGCAGUGGGGAAUAUUGGACAGUGGGCGAAAGCCUGAUCCAGCCAUGCCGCGUGUGUUAAGAAGGUCUUCGGAUUGUAAAGCCCUUUAAGUUGUGAGGAAGGGCAGUAAGUUAAUACCUUGCUGUUUUGACGUUACCAACAGAAUAAGCACCGGCUAACUUCGUG
This 484-nucleotide ribosomal RNA is filed under the name uncultured bacterium. RNAcentral's name for it is "partial 16S ribosomal RNA". It matches the Rfam family "Bacterial small subunit ribosomal RNA", at positions 30 to 507 of the family's 1533-position model. The record is from RNAcentral.